UUUCCGUAGGUGAACCUGCGGAAGGAUCAUUACUGAGUGAGGGCCCUCUGGGUCCAACCUCCCACCCGUGUUUAUUGUACCUUGUUGCUUCAGUGCGCCCGCCUCACGGCCGCCGGGGGGCUUCUGCCCCCGGGUCCGCGCGCACCGGAGACACCAUUGAACUCUGUCUGAAGAUUGCAGUCUGAGCAUAAACUAAAUAAGUUAAAACUUUCAACAACGGAUCUCUUGGUUCCG
RNAcentral lists this unclassified non-coding RNA (234 nucleotides) under plant metagenome. Its description in RNAcentral is "partial contains small subunit ribosomal RNA, internal transcribed spacer 1, and 5.8S ribosomal RNA". The record is from RNAcentral.